Molecule: long non-coding RNA, 402 nt
Filed under: Brassica napus (rape)
Lineage: Eukaryota; Viridiplantae; Streptophyta; Magnoliopsida; Brassicales; Brassicaceae
Description: long non-coding RNA (BNAP_LNC017773)
Source: RNAcentral
AACGAGGAUCAUGAACCCACGAAAGAGUACUCAUACAAUCAUAGAAGAUCAUAGAGAUUAGAAAAGAUAAAACGUGGAGGUUCAAAGUAUCUAAAAGAGAGAUGGGCGUAUUGGCCAUAUACAUAUACUUAAACGCCAUCUGAUAAACCAGUGAAAUAGAUGGAUCUUGUGAGAUAAAGAAACCGUGAGAGAAGGCACAUGAUCACGAGAUCAAAGAGUGUUCAUGUCUUCCUACUUAACAGUAUUAGAUUAUAGCUUGUUACACAAGGUACUCACAGAGAUCAAAGGAACAGAUUAUAAGGAGAUAAACUCAUAUGUGGUGGAUGCUGCUACAGAUUUUCGAAAUUGAAAAUGGUCUGGUCAUAAGAAAGAAAUUAGAUACAAUGAUGUAGUAAGCAGCAU